CUUCUGACUCGGUCGACCUCCACUAGUGAGGUUUAGGGUUCUGAUAGCCACUAUAAAUGAGAAAGGUACCUACAAGUUUAUCGUUUCAGUUCACACAAUUCAUCGACGAACAGAGGAUAAAGAUCGGCCUGCCACUGUUUUUCUGAGGCAAAGUUCGAGUUUGUUCUCCAUCGACAAUGAGAGCCAAGUGGAAGAAGAAGCGUAUGAGGAGGCUUAAGAGAAAGCGCCGAAAGAUGAGACAGAGGUCGAAGUAGUUGGCAGAUAUCUGGAAAAUGAUCAAGCUUUCUCCUGAGACUGUUUAUGGUCUCCAUCGCUGUCGAGCAUGAACUGCUUGAAGUCGUGGAGGUUGUAGUAGUGUUCUUACGAAGAUAGUUUUGCACCAUUUCCUGUGGUUUUUAUUACUUUGGAUAAACUUCUAUAACUUGACUUGUUUUCCGUUUAAGUUGUGUGUUAUAACAUAUAUUAUGCAUGCAUGUAAUGCUUUUCUUGAACCAUUUCAGAAAUUUUCAAUGGUUAAGCUUAAUUUGGCUUGGUA
This is a non-coding RNA of Cucurbita pepo subsp. pepo (vegetable marrow), 535 nucleotides long. NCBI's taxonomy places the organism in Eukaryota, Viridiplantae, Streptophyta, Magnoliopsida, Cucurbitales, Cucurbitaceae. The record is from RefSeq and is a predicted model, not a curated record.